AGACCAUGUGGAGUCACAGUGUAUAGCAGGUCCCUGGUGCACUGACCUUGGACUGCGGAGGAGCCCUGAUGGUCCAGAUACAGUCGAGGGCUUCUCCAGCCUUUACUUUCUCCUCCUCAUCCACCUGACUGGAGCGGAUAACACCGUCAGAGCCUCCGAUCUCAAACUGGCAGUCUGCACACAUGGGAGAGAAGGAGAGAGGUCCGACAGGUGAAGGGUGAACAAUCAUCAUAGCAUUGAGGUUUGUGCAGAAGCCAAAGACCAAGAGCCCCAACAAACCAGAACAUCAAUACCAACUAUAUAGACAAGGGGAUUUAAUUAGAUUCCUAUAAAAGCAGCUCUAGAUGUAUCCUUUGAAGUGCUCUUAAAUGAGGAGCAUUAGUAUUCAGUGAAGGAUCUUUACCUGCUACAAAGGUGUACUUGAUGCGGAACCCAAGGCCCUCUAACUCUUCAUCACUACUGAACUUGAUCCACAUGAACCUGCCUGUGGACAGGACCAUGCCUGGGUUCUUUCCUCCACAGAAGCGGUCGAUGAGAGGGGAGAAACCAAACGGACCAUCCCGCACUUCGAUGUGGUCAAAGCGGCACUCAAAAGAUGGCUCUAUGUAGUAGUUCUUGUCGAAAACCAGCUGGAUCCUUUGUCUGGGGAGAGCUGUUUGAUGCAAAGGAAAACAGCAAGAAAGAAGAAAUGAACAAAUUAAAUCUGUCUUUUGUGGAACUGUUCAGUCAAAAAUGAAAACCAAGCAUGCUGUGUGGAGUGGAAACUCUGUAAAAGCAAUUACCAACAGAGUCUGACAAUUAAAGCGCAUGUCAAUAAGAACUGCUGAACUGGGGUAGACACAUUGCAUAGUUAAGAAUAAGCCUUCUUUAGAAAUUAAUUUCUUAUUUUGAUAGUUACACCAAGCAGUUUUAAAUGAUUUUAUCCCAUGUAAACAAAUGAUAAAAUGACAUUCUUUAA
Boleophthalmus pectinirostris (great blue-spotted mudskipper) is the source of this 958-nucleotide long non-coding RNA. RefSeq lists it as uncharacterized. The transcript has 4 exons. The record is from RefSeq and is a predicted model, not a curated record. NCBI's taxonomy places the organism in Eukaryota, Metazoa, Chordata, Actinopteri, Gobiiformes, Gobiidae.